AUUGAACGCUGGCGGCAUGCCUUACACAUGCAAGUCGAACGGUAACGCGGGGCAACCUGGCGACGAGUGGCGAACGGGUGAGUAAUGUAUCGGAACGUGCCCAGUUGUGGGGGAUAACUGCUCGAAAGAGCAGCUAAUACCGCAUACGACCUGAGGGUGAAAGCGGGGGAUCGCAAGACCUCGCGCAGUUGGAGGGGCCGAUAUCAGAUUAGGAAGUUGGUGGGGUAAAGGCCUACCAAGCCUACGAUCUGUAGCUGGUCUGAGAGGACGACCAGCCACACUGGGACUGAGACACGGCCCAGACUCCUACGGGAGGCAGCAGUGGGGAAUUUUGGACAAUGGGGGCAACCCUGAUCCAGCCAUGCCGCGUGCGGGAAGGAGGCCUUCGGGUUGUAAACCGCUUUUGUCAGGGAAGAAAUCCUUUGAACUAAUACUUCGAAGGGAUGACGGUACCUGAAGAAUAAGCACCGGCUAACUACGUGCCAGCCGCCGCAGUAA
RNAcentral lists this ribosomal RNA (498 nucleotides) under uncultured bacterium. Its description in RNAcentral is "partial 16S ribosomal RNA". It matches the Rfam family "Bacterial small subunit ribosomal RNA", at positions 29 to 523 of the family's 1533-position model. The record is from RNAcentral.